UACGAAGGGGGCUAGCGUUGCUCGGAAUCACUGGGCGUAAAGGGUGCGUAGGCGGGUUUUUAAGUCAGAGGUGAAAUCCUGGAGCUCAACUCCAGAACUGCCUUUGAUACUGAAGAUCUUGAGUUCGGGAGAGGUGAGUGGAACUGCGAGUGUAGAGGUGAAAUUCGUAGAUAUUCGCAAGAACACCAGUGGCGAAGGCGGCUCACUGGCCCGAUACUGACGCUGAGGCACGAAGGCGUGGGGAGCAAACAGG
Molecule: ribosomal RNA, 253 nt
Filed under: uncultured bacterium
Lineage: Bacteria
Description: partial 16S ribosomal RNA
Rfam family: Bacterial small subunit ribosomal RNA
Source: RNAcentral